Molecule: long non-coding RNA, 2309 nt
Organism: Piliocolobus tephrosceles (Ugandan red Colobus)
Lineage: Eukaryota; Metazoa; Chordata; Mammalia; Primates; Cercopithecidae
Source: Ensembl
UUUUUUAUCUUUUCUUGUUCAGCUAAAAUGCCAAAAUAAAGUGAAUUAGAAAAAAUAAUAAGAAAUUUAUAGGUUUAUACAUAUAUGUAUGUAUAUGUAGAAUGAAAACAUAAAGAAUAUAGAUUUACACUUUUCAAAUAAUAAUAAAAAUAUGAAUUCGAGAUAUAAAAAAAACAGUUUUAUUGACUUUCAAUACGAACAAGUCAUAAAUAGCUUGUGGGAUAUCUUUAAAAAACAACCUCCAAAAAAGUCGAUAUCAACUUCUUCAGCUUUGCCUAGUAAUAUAAAUGAACAACCUUUAAGUACUCGGCUUUUUUUAGAUUUAGCUGAUAAUAGAGAAAUAGUAUUACAAAAAAUAAUUAAAAAAUUAAAUAUUUUAAAUUUAAUAUAUUUUCGUUGUAUAAAAGAAACUGACAUUGAGGAUGUAUAUGAAUUACAUAGAGAACUUUUUCCUGUGAAAUAUCAUCCAAAUUUUUAUUUUAGUAUUUGCAAUUUCGAUGAUAAUAAAAUAGUUGACGAUUUCGUCGUAAGAAUAACAGAAAAAAUAACAAGUUCGUUGAAUACUGCUAGUAACAGUCAAAAUGCAGAAAACAGUGUAAACAAGGAAAGCGAUUUAAACGUAACUUACAUGAAUCGAGAUAAGAAUAAACAAAUAAACAGACAGAUAAAUAUUUUUAAUAAUGAUAAUAACGGUAAUAACAACAAGAACAGAAAUAAUGAUAAACCGCUGAACAUUAGUACAAAUAAAAAUAUAAAUCAGACACAAACAUUUAAAACGUCUAAUAAUUACGUAUACAAUGAUAGUAAUAGUAAAGAAGAAAAAAAGCAAAUAAAAAUAAUAAAUAAAAAAUGGAAAGAUGAAGAAAUAUUUUCAUUAGGUCUUUUUUUACCUUUUUCAUUUAUCGAUUAUGUUAAUAGUAAUUAUAUUAUUUCGUUGCUUAAAAAAAAAAAUAUAGAAAAAGUAAGCGAAAAGGAUGUUUUAAUAAAUUACAUAAAAUUUUUAGAUGAUAAUAUUGUUUAUAAAAAAAAAAAAACUAAAACAAAAAUUAUUGACACGAGCUUAAAACAUCCAUAUUAUAGUAAUACUUGUCCAAAUAUAAAAUUUAAUAAAGAUGAAAAAAAAAAAAAAAAAAAUAUAACAACUAAUUGUGAAAUGAAUCAAGAUAUGGAUACUCUUGAUAGUACAAAUAUAGAUGAAGAAGUGGAUAAUAAAAAAGACAAUCGCAAUGAAGCGGUUACUGCUGUUAUGGAUACUACUAAUGACACUUCUCACGACGUUAUAAAGAAAAUAUUCCCAUCUGUUAAUUCCUACAGAUCUGACAUGACAAAUGAAUAUAACAUGAAUAUAGAACAUACAAGUAACAAGAAUAAACCAUAUAGCAGCAGUAACAACAAAAGCUCUAAAAGUAUCAAUAAUGAUAGCAGCAUUGAAGAUAUGUACAAAGAAUUAAAAAAAAAAGAUGUAACAUACAAAGAAAGAAAUAUAAAUUUAAUUGAAGGGCAUACAUAUGAUGAAACCGAAAAAACAUGUUCGUUUAACAAAAAUAUGUUACAAACUAAUGAAAGUAACAUAAAAGUAAAUGUAAAAAAAGAUUAUUUAAUCGGUUCCAUAUCGAAUUUAAUUAAUUAUGAAAAUGGAGGAAAUGAAAAGGAUUUUGUUAAUGUAUAUAACUAUUACCAAAAGAUGUAUGAUAACAAUAAAAAAGUUAAAAAAAGCUAUUUGCAAUAUAUGUAUGAUACAUCAAAAAGUUUUUUAGAAUGUUACAAUCCCUUAGAAAAAAAAAAUCGUAAUAACGGAAUAAAUAAAAUUAUGCAUAUGUUUAAUAAGAAUGGAAAAAGUGACAAUAAUAAAAAUAAUAGAGAUAAUGAGAAUAAUGAAAAAAACGAAAAAAAUGAUGAACAAGUGGUAAGUAUAAACGCUGAAGUAGAUACAAGUGUGUAUGCGCGUACAUACCCAGAUGGAAAUAACAAUUUAAAAGAUCAGUCGUAUUCUAAUGAUUUGUCAAAUGAACAAAAAAGUAUAAAUUAUAUUUCUGAUAAUAGAAUAAAUUUGAGAAAUAAUAAUAAUAAUAAUAGUAAUAGUAAUAAUANNNNNNNNNNNNNNNNNNNNNNNNNNNNNNNNNNNNNNNNNNNNNNNNNNNNNNNNNNNNNNNNNNNNNNNNNNNNNNNNNNNNNNNNNNNNNNNNNNNNUACAUAAGUCAUUAACCAAUUUAACGAACUUAAAAUUAAAAAAUUUUAAAAAAGAUACAAUAUUUGAAAAAAAGUUACAUGAACAAAUUUAUUCAAAUAAAAAUACAAAAGUGUCAUCA